RNAcentral lists this unclassified non-coding RNA (230 nucleotides) under plant metagenome. RNAcentral's name for it is "partial contains small subunit ribosomal RNA, internal transcribed spacer 1, and 5.8S ribosomal RNA". The stretch from base 183 to 230 matches the Rfam family "5.8S ribosomal RNA", at positions 1 to 49 of the family's 154-position model. The record is from RNAcentral.
UUUCCGUAGGUGAACCUGCGGAAGGAUCAUUCAUAAUAAAGUGUUUUAUGGCACUUUUUAAAAAUCCAUAUCCACCUUGUGUGCAAUGUUAGAUCUCGUCAAUCUUGGCGAGAUUUUUAUACAUCAACUCAUUUUUUAACUAAUUUGUCUGAAAAAUAUUAUGAAUACUUAAUUCAAAAUACAACUUUCAACAACGGAUCUCUUGGCUCUCGCAUCGAUGAAGACGCAGC